AAAUUGAAGAGUUUGAUCAUGGCUCAGAUUGAACGCUGGCGGCAGGCCUAACACAUGCAAGUCGAACGGUAACAGGAAGCAGCUUGCUGCUUCGCUGACGAGUGGCGGACGGGUGACGAGUGGCGGACGGGUGAGUAAUGUCUGGGAAACUGCCUGAUGGAGGGGGAUAACUACUGGAAACGGUGGCUAAUACCGCAUAACGUCGCAAGACCAAAGAGGGGGACCUUCGGGCCUCUUGCCAUCAGAUGUGCCCAGAUGGGAUUAGCUUGUUGGUGAGGUAACGGCUCAC
RNAcentral lists this ribosomal RNA (289 nucleotides) under Salmonella enterica subsp. enterica serovar Infantis str. 119944. Its description in RNAcentral is "partial 16S ribosomal RNA". It matches the Rfam family "Bacterial small subunit ribosomal RNA", at positions 1 to 268 of the family's 1533-position model. The record is from RNAcentral. Lineage: Bacteria; Pseudomonadati; Pseudomonadota; Gammaproteobacteria; Enterobacterales; Enterobacteriaceae.